GAUGAACGCUGGCGGCGUGCUUAACACAUGCAAGUCGAACGAAGUGUUUAUUCAAAGUUCUUCGGGUUAGUGACUAAAUUACUUAGUGGCGGACGGGUGAGUAGCGCGUGGCUAACCUGCCUCACACAGGGGGAUAGCAGUUGGAAACGACUGCUAAUAUCGCAUAAGACCACCGUACGGCAUGGUGCAGGGUUAAAAGUCUUAUCGCUGUGAGAUGGAUCUGCGUCGGAUUAGAUAGUUGGUAGGGUAUCAGCCUACCAAGUCAACGAUCAGUAGCCGAGAGGGGAGGGUGAUAGGCUACGAUGGGGCUGUGACACAGACCAAUAUCCUACGCAACGGAGCAGUAGAGAAUAUUGCAAAAUGGGGCGAGCCCUGAUACAGCAACGCCGCGUAAGUGAAGAAGUAAGUCGGUAUGCAAAGCUGUAUCAGAAGUGAAGAAAAUGACGGUACCUGACUAAGAAGCCCCGGCUAACUACGUG
RNAcentral lists this ribosomal RNA (479 nucleotides) under uncultured bacterium. RNAcentral describes it as "partial 16S ribosomal RNA". It matches the Rfam family "Bacterial small subunit ribosomal RNA", at positions 28 to 507 of the family's 1533-position model. The record is from RNAcentral.